Long non-coding RNA from Crotalus tigris (Tiger rattlesnake), 1027 nucleotides. RefSeq lists it as uncharacterized. The record is from RefSeq and is a predicted model, not a curated record. NCBI's taxonomy places the organism in Eukaryota, Metazoa, Chordata, Lepidosauria, Squamata, Viperidae. The transcript has 3 exons.
GUUUAGCCCUACCUAACAUCUAGAAAUUCAGCAUGAGCAGUUUUGCAAACAUCACCACAAAAUGAGGGAAAGUCUGCAAUGCUGGAUGUUGACAUUACGGUUUGCCUAAAGAAAAGAAGAUCCACAUGGAGCUGAUUUUUGCAGUCCUUCAUCUUUUGACAAUCAGGAAGAACGAGGAGAAGAUCUGAGGAAGGGCUCUGAGUAAGCUGCCCGAGUCUGUGAAGGCUCUGCUGCCAACACAUGCUACUCCAGCUGAGGCAAUGGCUCACCCAAGAAUAACAACUGAAGAGGAGGCUAUAUCAACAAUCUGUAUCCGACCAAGUAGUGGAGGCUGGGAAGCAUAUUGUUUAAGAUGAUAAAGUUGUUGGAAAGAAAAAAAAAAGUACAUGGUGAACACUGGAUAACAACUUCAAGGCCACAUUUUAUGACUUCUAAUAGCAAUGUUUACUGAAGUUAAGUUUCCACUGUUGGGAAAAAUAAAAUGGGAAGUGGACAAAAAGAAAAAAAAAAUUCCACCGAAAGGAGCAAAGCUUGUUUGUCUCUUCACAUGGGGGAGGGAAGUGCUAUUGUGAUCAUGUCCUUUAACACAAUACCAGGGAAGUCCAUAGGAUAAUGGUUUCCCCUUCCAGAAUCUCUGCAGGAGCUGGGACAGGGCUAUGGUGCUCAAUAUUGUCACACAUAUUAGUGGUGCUCCUCAUUUGACCCUGAGCUUCUCACUAUAUUUUAGCAGAUAUAUAGGAAAUCACUCACAUGUGGCAUCUCCCUCCCCCACAUGAAAUAAUUCUGCAGGCAGGAGAUUUACAAAGCUGUGUAGGUUAGGGGAAAGGAAGAAAAUACAAUUUAAAGCUCUGUUGGCUUGCCCAGAACUAAGAUGGUAUCUUUCUCUUUUUCUCUCUCUCUUUCUUAUAAAAAUAGCUUAUUCAAUAGAGAAAAUACUUAUCCUACUUUAAUUUAUAAGAGCCAAUUCUGAGCACUUCAUAAGGGAAUGCAGCAGAUGGGGGAUUGAUCCAAUAGAUCACAGGUGUCA